Molecule: ribosomal RNA, 566 nt
Filed under: uncultured bacterium
Lineage: Bacteria
Description: bacterial SSU rRNA
Rfam family: Bacterial small subunit ribosomal RNA
Source: RNAcentral
CCUACGGGAGGCAGCAGUGGGGAAUAUUGCACAAUGGGCGCAAGCCUGAUGCAGCGACGCCGCGUGAGGGAUGACGGCCUUCGGGUUGUAAACCUCUUUCAGUAGGGAAGAAGCGAAAGUGACGGUACCUGCAGAGAAGCGCCGGCUAACUACGUGCCAGCAGCCGCGGUAAUACGUAGGGCGCAAGCGUUAUCCGGAAUUAUUGGGCGUAAAGAGCUCGUAGGCGGUUUGUCGCGUCUGCCGUGAAAGUCCGGGGCUCAACUCCGGAUCUGCGGUGGGUACGGGCAGACUAGAGUGAUGUAGGGGAGACUGGAAUUCCUGGUGUAGCGGUGAAAUGCGCAGAUAUCAGGAGGAACACCGAUGGCGAAGGCAGGUCUCUGGGCAUUAACUGACGCUGAGGAGCGAAAGCAUGGGGAGCGAACAGGAUUAGAUACCCUGGUAGUCCAUGCCGUAAACGUUGGGCACUAGGUGUGGGGGACAUUCCACGUUUUCCGCGCCGUAGCUAACGCAUUAAGUGCCCGCCUGGGGAGUACGGCCGCAAGGCUAAAACUCAAAUGAAUUGACGG